GGCACAUGGGGUGCCUCAGGCUUCCUGGCUGCUGCUGCUGCUGCUGCUGCUGCUGCUUCUUUCUUCUUUCUUCUUCUUCUUUUUCCUUCUUCUUCCUUCUUCUUCUCCGUCCUCCUCCUCCUCCUUCUUCUUCUUCCUCUUUUUUUGAGAUGGAGUCUUGCUCUGUCACCUAGGCUGGAGUGCAGUGAUGUGAUCUCAGCUCACUGCAACAUCUGCCUCCUGAGUUCGAGCUAUUCUGCCUCAGCCUCCCGAGUAGCUGGGAUUACAGGUGUCUGCCACCACACCCGACUAGUUUUUGUAUUUUUAGUAGAGAUGGGGUUUCGCUAUGUUGGCCAGGCUGGUCUUGAAUUCCUGACCUCAACUGAUCUGCCCACCUUGGCCUCCCAAAGUGCUGGGAUUACAGGUGUGAGCCACCGCGUCCGGCCCCCUGGCUGCUUCUAUGUGAGCAAUCCCAUGACCUCUGGUCCCUCACCUGCUUUGAGGUUGGCUCAACUGAGUCAUGGUGGGGAGAAAGAGAACCCACUCUGCCUUCCUUGCUCCUGGCAAGGGAGCCUAGCAUCCAGCAAGAACAGGUGUAGUAGACUUGAGGGGUGGGAAAGCGAAGAGCUGAGGCUCGUGUGCCUGGCAGGCCUGGCCAUAUGAGAUGGGUGACCUUGGGGGAUGUUACCCCUGGCAGGUUAUGUCCUUAUCUGCAAAGGAGGAUAAUCAUAUGGGCCUCUCAGGAGUUGUGAGGGCAGUGCCUGGCCCAGAAUAGAUGUCUGUUCCCUUUUUCCUGGUCUGGGUAGAGCUGAGUAGGGUUAGUGUUCCCUAGGAGGUUACUUUGUCCACUGUGGCGUGUUUCAGUGCCCGAUGAGGCAACGUGGUCUUUGGCCCUGGAAUCUGGAGCCAUCCUGUGGCACCCUGCUGUCCUCUCCCAACUAUGCUCCCAGGACCUCAGGACCUCCAGUCCCCUGUUGGGUCCCAGGCACCUUUCUUGCCUCCACAGGUCCCCAGUGUUGGAGACUAAUGUGUUGUCCUCAGGGCUCUCCCAGCCACUCUCUUGUUUGGUAUUCAAGUGGCAAGAAGUUAAAUUAUGUGUCCAAACCACAGUACAUGAUAGAGCUGGGGCUUAGAUUCAUGCCUCCAUGAUCCUAUUCCCAAGCCUUGUCCACAACACUCAGUUAUCCUGAUCAAUCUCCUUACUAGAUAUCCGAGGACACCGAGACAAGAGAGGCGAAGUGGCUUACCUAAGGUUCCACACUAGUUAGCAUCAGAGCUUACAGUCCAGUGGUUUCACCACCACUCUGCGCACUGUUGACUAUUACUGAUUAAUUCAAGAGCCUGGUUAAGGUUUUCACUAAGCAAGCAAUACCACCACCUGGUGGCACUAUGCCUGAAUUGCAGGGGCAACUCCUAAGCGUCAACUCUCCUCCCCUUCAACUUGAUGACUAAAAUUGAUUUUCAAAAAAGUAGCUAAUUGGGUGUCAUCUGUGUGACAAAUCCCUAAAGUAGUCCCUCAUCAGAUCCCGCUUGAGAGCAGCAUUUGCAGGAGGGCUUGUGGGGUUGCAGAUGGGGUCAGUGGAAAUGGAACAGAAUUAAUGGGAUACACAGACCUAGUCAGAAGCCUCAUUGUGCCUGAGCUUUAUUCCUCUAUCCCUGUGGUGAAGCUGGUGUUGGCUGUUCACUCUGUGGUGCAAUUCUGGCUCCAAAAUAGACUGUCUCUCUCUCUUUUUUUUUUUUUAGACGGAGUUUCGCUCGUUGCCCAGACUGGAGUGCAAUGGCGCGAUCUUGGCUCAACGCAACCUCCGCCUCCGGGUUUAAGCAAUUCUCCUGCCUCAGCCUCCCGAGUAGCUGGGAUUACAGGCAUGUGCCACCACACGCAGCUAAUUUUGUAUUUUUAGUAGAGACGGGGUUUCUCCAUGUUGGUCAGGCCAGUCUCGAACUUCCGACUUCGGGUGAUCUGCCCGCCUCGGCCUCCCAAAGUGCUGGGAUUACAGGCUUGAGCCACUGUGUUUGGCUCUGGACUGUCUCUUUAAAAGUCCUUCUGGUUGUAACUGAAGCAGUAACUGAAGCAGCCGCUGAAGCUGUUACUAGGGGCAACCUGGCAAGCCAUAGUGCAUUAAAUUAAAUUAAACAGGCUUGUGACUGCCCCCUCCCCUCCUGGAGAAGGGAGGGGGUAUUCCCCCUCUAUCCUGGAGAAUAAAGUUGCUGUGAAACCUCUUAUGGCUGCAAGGAAUUCAGUUACAGAGUUUAUGACUCCCAGAGGCAAGAUGUUUGGAGGCAGCCUGGGAGGAGGCUCACAGGACUUCUGCCAGAAGAGGAGUAUUUACAGUGAACCUGCCUGGGAUCAGGAAACAGAGACUACAGAAAAAGCCACCGGCCCAGCCCCAUAGCCCAGGGCAGAAGUGCCAGGAUUCAAGUUCAGAUCUGCCUCCCUCCAAUGCCCCUGUUGUUUCCACCUCAUCAUGCUGACUCUGUGAAGGCUGACACUGCAGAAAUAAAAGUCACAAGGUGGCA
Homo sapiens (human) is the source of this 2496-nucleotide long non-coding RNA. RefSeq lists it as uncharacterized. The transcript has 2 exons. Lineage: Eukaryota; Metazoa; Chordata; Mammalia; Primates; Hominidae. The record is from RefSeq and is a predicted model, not a curated record.